GGCCAGACUCCUACGGGAGGCAGCAGUGGGGGAUAUUGCACAAUGGGGGCAACCCUGAUGCAGCGACGCCGCGUGAGCGAUGGAGUACUUCGGUAUGUAAAGCUCUGUCAGCAGGGAAGAGAAUGACGGUACCUGACCAAGAAGCCCCGGCUAAAUACGUGCCAGCAGCCGCGGUAAUACGUAUGGGGCAAGCGUUAUCCGGAUUUACUGGGUGUAAAGGGAGCGUAGGCGGCAGGGCAAGCCUGAUGUGAAAGCCCGGGGCUCAACCCCGGGACUGCAUUGGAAACUGCGAGGCUGGAGUGUCGGAGAGGCAGGCGGAAUUCCUAGUGUAGCGGUGAAAUGCGUAGAUAUUAGGAGGAACACCAGUGGCGAAGGCGGCCUGCUGGACGAUGACUGACGCUGAGGCUCGAAAGCGUGGGGAGCAAACAGGAUUAGAUACCCCUGUAAA
Molecule: ribosomal RNA, 448 nt
Filed under: uncultured bacterium
Lineage: Bacteria
Description: partial 16S ribosomal RNA
Rfam family: Bacterial small subunit ribosomal RNA
Source: RNAcentral